This is a non-coding RNA of Pelobates cultripes (western spadefoot toad), 481 nucleotides long. The record is from the annotation of a GenBank genome assembly. NCBI's taxonomy places the organism in Eukaryota, Metazoa, Chordata, Amphibia, Anura, Pelobatidae.
GUCUGUGGUCCUUAUACAUACAUAAAGGAAGUAAAAAAGGAGAGAUCCUUGUGUAGUAAAUCACAAUGUUCAAUGGUGAAUAUUUAAAUAAAUGGCUUCUCACCUGGUAGGGAGCCCUUAUACCUGGCUCAGAGUAUGUAGGUAUCGGUGCCUUUAAGGAGGCUACCACCCUUCUUUUAGCAGCAAAAAGAUGGAAGAAGGACUUCAAUGUUGGACAAAAUUUCUUCAUUAAAAUAUAAUGCAAACAAAAAAAAGGAAGUGUACUAAAUUAUAUAAAUAAAAAAGAAAAAUGAAUAAAAUGUCAAUGAAAAGUCCUUUCUUCCAGCCGAGACGCGUUUUGCUGUACUGUGACAGCUUUCUCAAUCGGUAAUGUGUUUGCUGCUUGUGGAGAUUUAAAUAUCUUUCUAUUUGAUUGGUGCUCCAAUCUUCUUAUUAUCCAAUCCCCAUACCGACAUACUUCUUUGAAGGAUAAUUCUUAUUG